AGGUUGCUCAAACAACUUUGACAUCUGCUAGGGCAUAAAUCAUCUGAUGCCGUCAUAACAAUGCUCAAUUAUCCAUGAAUCCAGUAUCUAAACAUUGGUAUUCUUUGCCUAUUUUUGUUGGACGAUUUCUUGAGUAUAUGCUUUUCUGAUUAUUAACCAUAAAUUACAUAUAUAAGCAGACCUCUCUCGGGUAACUAGCUUUAGUAGGGGUUUGAUGGGAGACUGCAAGGAGGCUCACAGCACAGAUGCGGCGACAUAAACCAGUCCCCUUUUUAAGUAGUUUAAACAUAUCUCUCCAUGUUAAUAUGUACCAUGUGGCAAGUGAUGCAAUAAUUACAUGUUCUUCCCCCUCUACAGACUUGAAAAAUCAUGAAAAUUAAGUAUGUUGGCACAUGUUCACUGGUUAACCCCUCCAGGAUUGUUCAAGGGAAGUUUUAAUAGAUUUGUGCAUUUUCUGGAGUUACUGUUUGAGAGGGAGAUAGGAGGAUCUUUAUUGCAGGUAUAAUUUCUUCUAGCUGAAUUGAGGCGUGGACGAAUCCUCCUAGCUGAACUCGGGAUCUGGAGCGGUAUGAGGCAUGUUACUAAUCAACCAGUCCCUUGGAGGGCAUAGUUGAAGGUAAUUCUAGCAUUGUUGUCUUUUCAUGGUUGGAAGACAAAAGGAUUCAUGUAACAUUUCACUCUUCAUUCUCC
This 690-nucleotide long non-coding RNA is filed under the name Elaeis guineensis (African oil palm). RNAcentral describes it as "long non-coding RNA (EGUI_LNC017347)". The record is from RNAcentral. Lineage: Eukaryota; Viridiplantae; Streptophyta; Magnoliopsida; Arecales; Arecaceae.